GACGGACGCUGGCGGCGUGCUUAACACAUGCAAGUCGAGCGGUAAGGCCCUUUCGGGGGUACACGAGCGGCGAACGGGUGAGUAACACGUGGGUGACCUGCCUUUAGCUCUGGGAUAAGCCUGGGAAACUGGGUCUAAUACCGGAUAUGACCCUAUGGCGCAUGUUGUGGGGUGGAAAGCCUUGUGCGGCUAGGGAUGGGCCCGCGGCCUAUCAGCUUGUUGGUGGGGUGAUGGCCUACCAAGGCGACGACGGGUAGCCGGCCUGAGAGGGCGACCGGCCACACUGGGACUGAGACACGGCCCAGACUCCUACGGGAGGCAGCAGUGGGGAAUCUUGCGCAAUGGGCGAAAGCCUGACGCAGCGACGCCGCGUGAGGGAUGACGGCC
Molecule: ribosomal RNA, 387 nt
Filed under: uncultured bacterium
Lineage: Bacteria
Description: bacterial SSU rRNA
Rfam family: Bacterial small subunit ribosomal RNA
Source: RNAcentral